AACUGACUGAGCCACCCCAGGACUCCUAAAACAUUUCAUUCUACAGAGAAUUUGAAUGCUCUGCUGGGGAGAAUGAAGAAGUAGACCCAAAGAUGGUAUCAGUCAACCUCGCUUCUGUCAUUAGAGUAACUCAUCUUUGGUUUUAAAUGUGCAUAACUCAGCAAAGAAGAGAAAAGCACUAUCGUCAAGGAGGUUAUGUGUGAUGUGCAGAUCCCAAGGGGGAAAGAGAAUGGAGGUUCGAACCAUGCUGAGCAAGGCCACAGGGGAAGGACCAAGAUUAAGAGGCAGAAGAAGGAGGGGAAGACAUAGGUGAGAGCCUUUAUUCUUGUUUCCACAGGAAAGAAUGGACACAGCAGGGCUUCAGCUCAAAUACCAGCUUCCAAGAGGAUCCAUCAUGACUAUCCUGCUCAAAGAAGCACUUGCUGUCUGCUGUGAAUCUAAAGUAUCACAGAGAGAGAGAACAUGAGAGAACCGGAGGCAUCAGAGUACUGGCUUCUACCCAAGACCUCAGGAUUUCCUGAACAAGAAAAGACAAUGGGGAAAUGAGUAGGGAGGGCAGCUCAGGGCUAUAAGAAAGAAAGGUUUAUGGGGUUCCUGGGUGGCUCUGUCAGUCAA
This is a long non-coding RNA of Hyaena hyaena (striped hyena), 615 nucleotides long. RefSeq lists it as uncharacterized. Lineage: Eukaryota; Metazoa; Chordata; Mammalia; Carnivora; Hyaenidae. The record is from RefSeq and is a predicted model, not a curated record. The transcript has 4 exons.